RNAcentral lists this transfer RNA (74 nucleotides) under Dunaliella salina. RNAcentral describes it as "tRNA-Ile". It matches the Rfam family "tRNA". Rfam says of the family: Transfer RNA (tRNA) molecules are approximately 80 nucleotides in length. Their secondary structure includes four short double-helical elements and three loops (D, anti-codon, and T loops). The record is from RNAcentral. Lineage: Eukaryota; Viridiplantae; Chlorophyta; Chlorophyceae; Chlamydomonadales; Dunaliellaceae.
GGGCUAUUAGCUCAGUUGGUUAGAGCGUACCCCUGAUAAGGGUAAGGUCAGAAGUUCAAAUCUUCUAUAGCCCA